RNAcentral lists this ribosomal RNA (217 nucleotides) under uncultured bacterium. RNAcentral's name for it is "partial 16S ribosomal RNA". It matches the Rfam family "Bacterial small subunit ribosomal RNA", at positions 1283 to 1500 of the family's 1533-position model. The record is from RNAcentral.
CCAUCCCAGUUCGGAUUGCAGGCUGCAACCCGCCUGUAUGAAGUUGGAAUCGCUAGUAAUCGCGGAUCAGCAUGCCGCGGUGAAUACGUUCCCGGGCCUUGUACACACCGCCCGUCACACCAUGAGAGUCGGGAACACCCGAAGUCCGUGAGCCAACUUAUAGAGGCAGCGGUCUAAGGUAGAAUCAAUGAUUGGGGUGAAGUCGUAACAAGGUAGC